Molecule: transfer RNA, 69 nt
Filed under: Microlophus peruvianus
Lineage: Eukaryota; Metazoa; Chordata; Lepidosauria; Squamata; Tropiduridae
Description: tRNA-Ile
Source: RNAcentral
GAAAUGUGCCCGAGACACCAAGGGUUACUUUGAUAGAGUAAAAUACAGAGAAUAAACCUCUCAUUUCCU